This 434-nucleotide ribosomal RNA is filed under the name uncultured bacterium. RNAcentral describes it as "bacterial SSU rRNA". It matches the Rfam family "Bacterial small subunit ribosomal RNA", at positions 355 to 786 of the family's 1533-position model. The record is from RNAcentral.
UGAGGAAUAUUGGUCAAUGGACGCAAGUCUGAACCAGCCAUGCCGCGUGCAGGAAGAAGGUGCUAUGCAUUGUAAACUGCUUUUAUACGGGGUAAUUACAGAUACGCGUAUCUGGUUGAAAGUACCGUAUGAAUAAGGAUCGGCUAACUCCGUGCCAGCAGCCGCGGUAAUACGGAGGAUCCGAGCGUUAUCCGGAUUUAUUGGGUUUAAAGGGUGCGUAGGCGGUCAGGUAAGUUAGAGGUGAAAGCUCGAUGCUCAACAUCGAAACUGCCUCUGAUACUGUCUGACUAGAGUGUAGUUGCGGAAGGCGGAAUGUGUGGUGUAGCGGUGAAAUGCUUAGAUAUCACACAGAACACCGAUUGCGAAGGCAGCUUUCCAAGCUAUUACUGACGCUGGGGCACGAAAGCGUGGGGGAGCGAACAGGAUUAGAUACC